AUUGAACGCUGGCGGCAUGCUUUACACAUGCAAGUCGAACGGCAGCACAAACUUCGGUUUGGUGGCGAGUGGCGAACGGGUGAGUAAUGCAUCGGAACGUGUCCUAAAGUGGGGGAUAACGCAUCGAAAGAUGCGCUAAUACCGCAUAAUCUCUGAGGAGAAAAGUGGGGGAUCGAAAGACCUCAUGCUUUUGGAGCGGCCGAUGUCUGAUUAGCUAGUUGGUGGGGUAAUGGCCUACCAAGGCGACGAUCAGUAGUUGGUCUGAGAGGAUGGCCAGCCACACUGGGACUGAGACACGGCCCAGACUCCUACGGGAGGCAGCAGUGGGGAAUUUUGGACAAUGGGCGAAAGCCUGAUCCAGCAAUGCCGCGUGAGUGAAGAAGGCCUCGGUUG
Molecule: ribosomal RNA, 393 nt
Filed under: uncultured bacterium
Lineage: Bacteria
Description: bacterial SSU rRNA
Rfam family: Bacterial small subunit ribosomal RNA
Source: RNAcentral